Molecule: ribosomal RNA, 301 nt
Filed under: uncultured bacterium
Lineage: Bacteria
Description: partial 16S ribosomal RNA
Rfam family: Bacterial small subunit ribosomal RNA
Source: RNAcentral
CAGUAGCCGCGGGAAUACGAAGGGUGCAAGCGUUAAUCGGAAUUACUGGGCGUAAAGCGCGCGUAGGUGGUUUGGUAAGAUGGAUGUGAAAUCCCCGGGCUCAACCUGGGAACUGCAUUCAUAACUGCCUGACUAGAGUACGGUAGAGGGUGGUGGAAUUUCCUGUGUAGCGGUGAAAUGCGUAGAUAUAGGAAGGAACACCAGUGGCGAAGGCGACCACCUGGACUGAUACUGACACUGAGGUGCGAAAGCGUGGGGAGCAAACAGGAUUAGAUACCCGCGUAGUCCCUGUCUCUUAUAC